This 478-nucleotide long non-coding RNA is filed under the name Marmota monax (woodchuck). Lineage: Eukaryota; Metazoa; Chordata; Mammalia; Rodentia; Sciuridae. The record is from RNAcentral.
CCUGAUUCAGACUCCUGAUGACCACAGCAGGCAGGUGCAGACCACACUGUCUGCCAAGAACAUCUUCGGGCAAACCUCAGAUUUCACGCUGGUUCACAACAGCGUGACCACUGAUUUCAGAUCAGAAACACCUGCGGGGGGCGUUAAGCCCACACUGCAUCAAUAAAACACGGGUGUGUUCUCCCAGGAGUGCCUUCCCGGGCCAGGAAGUGCUGCCGCACGCCCUUCUCACGAACCAUGUUACUGCCCAGCUCACUGAAGCAAUCCAGGCAUUGCAUGAGGUCACACGGCGAGUGACACAAGAGCCAGAGUUUGAGCCCCAGGUGGACCCACAGUGACAUCAGCUCCCAUCUCAGGGGCCUGGACACACCCCCCCUCCAGGAGCAGGUGCCUUGGGACAGCCAUUGCGUCCUCUCCACAUCUGCUGUCCUCUGCCCUUACUUCUGACAGCUCCCUCCGUGGUGGUUUCUAGCAUUGG